Molecule: ribosomal RNA, 625 nt
Filed under: Bacillus sp. C3
Lineage: Bacteria; Bacillati; Bacillota; Bacilli; Caryophanales; Bacillaceae
Description: bacterial SSU rRNA
Rfam family: Bacterial small subunit ribosomal RNA
Source: RNAcentral
GUGCCUAAUACAUGCAAGUCGAGCGGACCGACGGGAGCUUGCUCCCUUAGGUCAGCGGCGGACGGGUGAGUAACACGUGGGUAACCUGCCUGUAAGACUGGGAUAACUCCGGGAAACCGGGGCUAAUACCGGAUGCUUGAUUGAACCGCAUGGUUCAAUCAUAAAAGGNGGCUUUUAGCUACCACUUACAGAUGGACCCGCGGCGCAUUAGCUAGUUGGUGAGGUAACGGCUCACCAAGGCGACGAUGCGUAGCCCACCUGAGAGGGUGAUCGGCCACACUGGGACUGAGACACGGCCCAGACUCCUACGGGAGGCAGCAGUAGGGAAUCUUCCGCAAUGGACGAAAGUCUGACGGAGCAACGCCGCGUGAGUGAUGAAGGUUUUCGGAUCGUAAAACUCUGUUGUUAGGGAAGAACAAGUACCGUUCGAAUAGGGCGGUACCUUGACGGUACCUAACCAGAAAGCCACGGCUAACUACGUGCCAGCAGCCGCGGUAAUACGUAGGUGGCAAGCGUUGUCCGGAAUUAUUGGGCGUAAAGCGCGCGCAGGCGGUUUCUUAAGUCUGAUGUGAAAGCCCCCGGCUCAACCGGGGAGGGUCAUUGGAAACUGGGGAACUUGAGUGCA